RNAcentral lists this unclassified non-coding RNA (209 nucleotides) under Hevea brasiliensis (rubber tree). The record is from RNAcentral. Lineage: Eukaryota; Viridiplantae; Streptophyta; Magnoliopsida; Malpighiales; Euphorbiaceae.
CAGCCAUCGAGAUGCGAAGUUUUCUAGGCCUAACAGGUUAUUACAGGCACUUUGUAUAGAUCUUCUCCAGGAUAGUAACUCCUCUGACACGGUUGACUCGAAAGAAUGUCCUAUUUUUCUGGUUAGUUGAGUGUGAGAAAAGCUUUUAAAAGCUUAAGGACUAUUUAAUUUCAGCUCCUAUGUUAACUUUGCCUGUGAGUGGAGAAGGG